Molecule: ribosomal RNA, 253 nt
Filed under: uncultured bacterium
Lineage: Bacteria
Description: partial 16S ribosomal RNA
Rfam family: Bacterial small subunit ribosomal RNA
Source: RNAcentral
UACGUAGGGGGCAAGCGUUGUCCGGAUUUAUUGGGCGUAAAGAGCUCGUAGGCGGUUCCGUAAGUCGGGUGUGAAAAAUCUGGGCUCAACCCAGUGGAGCACCCGAUACUGCUGUGGCUGGAGUCCGGUAGGGGAGCAGGGAAUAUCCGGUGUAGCGGUGAAAUGCUUAGAUAUCGGGUGGAACACCAGUGGCGAAGGCGCUGCUCUGGGCCGGUACUGACGCUGAGGAGCGAAAGCGUGGGUAGCAAACAGG